GCCAGACUCCUACGGGAGGCAGCAGUGGGGAAUAUUGCACAAUGGGGGAAACCCUGAUGCAGCGACGCCGCGUGAGUGAAGAAGUAUUUCGGUAUGUAAAGCUCUAUCAGCAGGGAAGAAAAUGACGGUACCUGACUAAGAAGCCCCGGCUAACUACGUGCCAGCAGCCGCGGUAAUACGUAGGGGGCAAGCGUUAUCCGGAUUUACUGGGUGUAAAGGGAGCGUAGACGGAAAGGCAAGUCAGGAGUGAAAGCCCGGGGCCCAACCCCGGGACUGCUCUUGGAACUGCGUGGCUGGAGUGCAGGAGGGGCAGGCGGAAUUCCUGGUGUAGCGGUGAAAUGCGUAGAUAUCAGGAGGAACACCGGUGGCGAAGGCGGCCUGCUGGACUGCAACUGACGUUGAGGCCCGAAAGCGUGGGGAGCAAACAGGAUUAGAUACCCGCGUA
Molecule: ribosomal RNA, 445 nt
Filed under: uncultured bacterium
Lineage: Bacteria
Description: bacterial SSU rRNA
Rfam family: Bacterial small subunit ribosomal RNA
Source: RNAcentral